CUCUCUCUCUCUCUCUCUCUCUCUCUCUCUCUCUCCGGGCUCGCCGGGUCGCCGCCCCUCACGCCGCGCUGGCUAGGGGCGAGAAGGCGGAGGCAGGAGCGGCUGCUUCGGGCCCCGAUCUGGGGAGGGUACGAGGCAGGGAAGGACGCCGUCCCUUUCAUUCUCUCUCUGAUUCGUCCUCUUCCCUCUUUCCAUCCCUCCUGCUCGCCAGCGGUUCCUCCUCCCCUGCCUCCUCACGUCGCCCUCAAGUCCGAGUCAACGAGUUUGCUUCCUCUGCUCCGUUCAUGUCAUUGAGCUUUUUCCUUGGGCAUAGCACCACAUUUGCGGCAGCACACCGGAGUCAAUUUGGUUGACUAGCAAUAGAGCAAAGAGUAAAAUCAGGUCUUCACCUAUGGAGGAGGUAGAUACUGGCGGAGUGCAUAUGACCAGGUGUCCUCCAGGUUCUGCAUCAUCAAUGUGUACCUCUAGAUUCUGCAUCAUUAGUGAGCAACUUACCUAAGCAACCGAGCCCAAUCAACAAUUGGUAGAAGUAGUUAUGAGAUGAGGCAGAGGAGAGCAGAGAGGACCGGAGAAGGAGUUGCGGACCUCGCCAACAAGGCCGUGACCCUACAUCACUAAAAAAAAUGCGCCGUAUUUGUUUCUCAUGCUUUACCAUGGCAUGUUCUUAUUAGUUCAGGUUGGUCUCUCCGGUUCUUUUCGCCAAUGGCUUGAUGUACGCACUGGCAACCUCUUACUGGAAGGAUUCGGCAUGCCUCUGUUCGAGAGAUGGGAUAUGAAGAAAUGGCGUUCUGUAGGUUGUCUUCAUGUCGCUGUUGUGCUACUGCUAGGCAUGAACAGAAUGGCCUCCUCUUAUUGCGAACCACACUGAUGUUGGCUUCUGAUUUCUGCUGUAAUGGAUUAUUUACUAUGGACAAAUAUGGCAAUAUUCAUUUGGAGCACCGUUUCUUGAGGAUAUGUCUCUUCUACAGGGGGAGAUCCCCGGCCUCUACAUCAGAACGAUGCAUACAUGAUAUCGUGUGCUUGUACUAAAAAAGGUGUUCUGCCAUCCCAUGGAUUCUAGCACAGCUUGAAGCGGCCAAGUCAAGGAGGACCUAUAAAAUUAUUUGAUCGUCUCUCGCUCUCUCUCUCUCUCGCUCUCUCUCUCUCUCUCUCUCUCUCUCUCUAUAUAUAUAUAUAUAUAUAUAUAUAUAUAUAUAUAUAUAUAUAUGUGUUGUCUGGUGCAUGUAUGGCUGAGAAUAGGGAGAGAGAGCAAGUUUAAUUUUCCUUGGGCAUUCAAAUUCUUAUUUUGCUUUUCUCAGAUUUUUGGCUGGGUGUUUAAACAUACUUCCACACACUGGUUUCAGAUUUCAGUGUAAACUACAAAUAGGGGAAAAAUAUAGUGAUUUUUCCAAAUUAGAAAUAGGGAGAAGGGAAACUAUUGAUUAUUGUGUGCAUGUAUAACUAAUUGGAUUACUGGUUGAACGAGUGCAGACUUGAGAAAGAAGAGAUAGGGCCAAUAAAAUUAGGUGGGAGGUAUGCUGAUGGGUUCAUUUUAGCAUUACUAAUCGACCGCUUGGCAUCCUGAAGCUGAAAGAUUAGCGAGACUGACUAAAUUCUAAACAUGUUCCAUGUGAGAGAAAUAGCAUGUUGAUUUCAUCUUGAAAUAAUCAUAGUUGAGGGAUGAGGUUCGUAACCGAGGGUCAUGUGCAGAGCUGGAGGAAGAAGUUGCGAGGCUUGAAACUCUGUGAAGGGCUCAGGGACAGCAGUGAGGACAAUGCCUCUUUAGUUGUAAUUGUGAUACUCUUGAUGUGCAAUUAAACACUCCUGUGAUACUCCUUAUGCUAAAAUGUUGGUUGUUAGUACAGAGGUGGUGACAUUAUUUGGUUCUCUGGUAUUGAUUUCAUGAUUUGUGGUUAAUACAUGAUGUAAUACAAUCCACAUUGCAUUAUAUUUCCAGUUACAUCUUUUACUUACUCACUACUAACAUUCUUUCUAAUUUGCUUCUUGCGCCAUUGGCGCAACCGGGUCAUCUAGUAUAUAUAGUACAUGCCGAGGGCCAGGGCUAUGGUUCUGUCACUUGAGAUGCCCAUGUGUAUGACAGGUUGUCGCAGCUGUGAUUGGCAGAAGAAUUGGUCAUUUUCAAAUUCGUCUAAAAGUUAUUUGGUAAAGUAUGAGCUUACAAUGAUGGAUGUGCUUAAGGUGAGUGAUUCUAACCUUCCAUUUACCUGUAUGACUUUAUAUAUCUCCUCUAUAUGAAUAUAGGGUACCCUCCAGAUACGGAAGUCCGAAAAUAUUUGACAAGUAAGCUACUUUGUUUUCCAUUAUAUAAUUUAGUACUCAAAAGCCAAAAAUUAUUGAUGGGACUUAUAUUUUGUUUCCCUUUCUACAAAAAUCUCAUGAUGGCCUCUCUGUGCAUUCAAUAAGUGAUCAACAAUCCCAGCAAAUAUAUAGAGAUGAAGGCGGAGAACUGGGUUCGCUCCUAUAUCAAGCUACUUCUAGGCAUGGUAUUUUAAUAAAUUACAUGUGUAUAAGGUAACAUUAUAUGUGUGGUGUGAUCAAAGCAAUGCGUUUUUUGCAUGAUUUGUUCCUAAACUUCUAAAUUUAGGUAGGUGUACAUCACACCAAACAUAUGUAAAAUCUCUGGCUCUUUUAGAUAUAUCAAUUUACUAUUUCGCCAUUAACAUUCCACCAAAUUGAGAAAUUAGUUACAUGCUAUCAAGUAGUGCAAGUUAACUCUACAUAUAAAUUAAAUUGUUGGAAAUUCGUGAGAGAUAUAAUACUAGACAUGAUUUGUAGAAACAAUUUGGAAUGGAAAGGGUGAAUACAAUAUAACAACUUGCCAUCAUUUUAUCCUUUGGACAUACACCUAACAUUUCUUCCUUGGUGCUUAUGAUGAGUGGCAGGAAAUCAUGGACACAAGGUACAGUGAUUUAUAACAUCUUCUUGGGCCUCGAGGAGUGAGGCUUAAUGUUGGUUUAUUCUAAGAUUAUAUUAUUGGCUCAGAUUUCCUUAGCUACUCCCUCCGUCCGCGAAUAAGUGUACUUCUAGCUUUUAUCUUAAGUCAAAGUUUUGAAAUUUUGACCAACUAUAUACAAAAGAGUGAUAACAUAUAUGACAUCAAAUUGAUAUAUUAUGAAAGUACAUUUCAAAAUAGAUCUAGUGAUAUUAAUUUAGUGUCAUAAAUGCUAGUACUUUUCUCUAUAAAGUUGGUCAAAAUUUUAAAACUUUGACCUAGGACAAAAGCUAAAAGUACACUUAUUCGUGGACGGAGGGAGUAUGCAUUAAUGAACAACAUUUUCACAUGAUACAUGGGCACAACAUUUCACAUGGUUUUACUUUAGAUUAUCAACUGUUUUGUGCGAUUAGCUAUGCAUAGCCAUCCUUAAAACCACAACUGCUUUUCUGUAAAUGUAUUCCCAAAUAGUAGCAUCAUUUCAUGAUUUUUACUACAGAGUUAGUUUAAUGGAAAUCAAGUGGAAAUGUCAAAACUAUUCAUGACUGAUUAGUUCUCCUCUCCCUAGACUUUUUCCUAUAUAUCCAAAAGCGCAUUCAAAAGCGCAUCCUUGCCAUAUGGCAAAUGUCUCAUAUGAUUUAUCAAUGAUCUACUCUGUUUUUACUGUAAUAUAUAGUUUGUUAUAUUAGUUUCUAAUGCAGAGAGUUGGCUAAGUAUUUUUGACUACUAAGCUAUAGACCAGCCAAAAAUUAAUCACACAGUUUUGUAAUCUCUAAAACAGCUUAUAUUUAGGAACAGAGGGAGUAGCAAUCACUCAUAUUGCAAUCAAAUGUUCCAACCAAUAUGGGUUGGCUUUAAGAACAAAAGUUUUGAUAGAGCAUUGAAGUGUCCGUUCGUGACUAGCUAGAUAUGUUCUAAUAUUGUUAGUCAAAGGGCAGUAGUCCAAGGGAACCAAUAGGUCGCACUACGUUCCUAUGCAAAAAAGCACUUAAAGGUUACAAGUGAUGGGGAAACAUGACUUGGCUUUCAGGUAUGUCUCUAAAGUGUCGUGCUACUUCAGAAAUCAAAGUUUUAUAAUAUCAUAUUGAAUACAAUAUUUUUUGUUUUAAAUAAACUAUGUGUAGUAACUAGAACAUAUUGCUUAAUAAAACAACUAGGUUGACAUGUAAAUGACAUUUUGUGUUAACUAUAACUAAGUAGAUUUCUAUUAGUACACACAGUUUAUUGGCUAGUCUGUGCGAAUGAUAUUGUUUGUCAUUAUGUUUAUGCUUGUUGUGAGCUUGCAAAUACAUUCAAUGUA
Long non-coding RNA from Triticum dicoccoides, 4232 nucleotides. RefSeq lists it as uncharacterized. The record is from RefSeq and is a predicted model, not a curated record. NCBI's taxonomy places the organism in Eukaryota, Viridiplantae, Streptophyta, Magnoliopsida, Poales, Poaceae. The transcript has 9 exons.